AUUGAACGCUGGCGGCAGGCUUAACACAUGCAAGUCGAGCGAGCGGCGGAAGGGUGAGUAAUGUCUGGGAAACUGCCUGAUGGAGGGGGAUAACUACUGGAAACGGUAGCUAAUACCGCAUAACAUCAGAUGUGCCCAGAGGGGCUUAGCUAGGAGGUGGGGUAAUGGCUCCCCUAGGCGACGAUCCCUAGCUGGUCUGAGAGGAUGACCAGCCACAGGGUACGUGAGACACGGUCCAGACUCCUACGGGGGCGAACAGUGGUUAAUAUUGCACAAUGGGCGCAAGCCUGAUGCAGUCAUGCCGCGUGUGUGAAUAAGGCCUUCGGGUUGUAAAGCACUUACAGCGAGGAGGCGUUACUCGCAGAAGAAGCACCGGCUAACGCCGUGCCAGCAGCCGCGGUAAUAC
This 406-nucleotide ribosomal RNA is filed under the name uncultured bacterium. RNAcentral's name for it is "partial 16S ribosomal RNA". It matches the Rfam family "Bacterial small subunit ribosomal RNA", at positions 30 to 526 of the family's 1533-position model. The record is from RNAcentral.